AAAUUGAAGAGUUUGAUCAUGGCUCAGAUUGAACGCUGGCGGCAGGCCUAACACAUGCAAGUCGAGCGGUAGCACAGGAGAGCUUGCUCUCUGGGUGACGAGCGGCGGACGGGUGAGUAAUGUCUGGGAAACUGCCUGAUGGAGGGGGAUAACUACUGGAAACGGUAGCUAAUACCGCAUAACGUCUACGGACCAAAGUGGGGGACCUUCGGGCCUCACGCCAUCAGAUGUGCCCAGAUGGGAUUAGCUAGUAGGUGGGGUAAUGGCUCACCUAGGCGACGAUCCCUAGCUGGUCUGAGAGGAUGACCAGCCACACUGGAACUGAGACACGGUCCAGACUCCUACGGGAGGCAGCAGUGGGGAAUAUUGCACAAUGGGCGCAAGCCUGAUGCAGCCAUGCCGCGUGUGUGAAGAAGGCCUUAGGGUUGUAAAGCACUUUCAGCGAGGAGGAAGGGCAGUGUGUUAAUAGCACAUUGCAUUGACGUUACUCGCAGAAGAAGCACCGGCUAACUCCGUGCCAGCAGCCGCGGUAAUACGGAGGGUGCAAGCGUUAAUCGGAAUUACUGGGCGUAAAGCGCACGCAGGCGGUUUGUUAAGUCAGAUGUGAAAUCCCCGCGCUUAACGUGGGAACUGCAUUUGAAACUGGCAAGCUAGAGUCUUGUAGAGGGGGGUAGAAUUCCAGGUGUAGCGGUGAAAUGCGUAGAGAUCUGGAGGAAUACCGGUGGCGAAGGCGGCCCCCUGGACAAAGACUGACGCUCAGGUGCGAAAGCGUGGGGAGCAAACAGGAUUAGAUACCCUGGUAGUCCACGCUGUAAACGAUGUCGAUUUGGAGGUUGUGCCCUUGAGGCGUGGCUUCCGGAGCUAACGCGUUAAAUCGACCGCCUGGGGAGUACGGCCGCAAGGUUAAAACUCAAAUGAAUUGACGGGGGCCCGCACAAGCGGUGGAGCAUGUGGUUUAAUUCGAUGCAACGCGAAGAACCUUACCUACUCUUGACAUCCAGAGAAUUCGCUAGAGAUAGCUUAGUGCCUUCGGGAACUCUGAGACAGGUGCUGCAUGGCUGUCGUCAGCUCGUGUUGUGAAAUGUUGGGUUAAGUCCCGCAACGAGCGCAACCCUUAUCCUUUGUUGCCAGCGAUUCGGUCGGGAACUCAAAGGAGACUGCCGGUGAUAAACCGGAGGAAGGUGGGGAUGACGUCAAGUCAUCAUGGCCCUUACGAGUAGGGCUACACACGUGCUACAAUGGCGUAUACAAAGAGAAGCGAACUCGCGAGAGUAAGCGGACCUCAUAAAGUACGUCGUAGUCCGGAUUGGAGUCUGCAACUCGACUCCAUGAAGUCGGAAUCGCUAGUAAUCGUAGAUCAGAAUGCUACGGUGAAUACGUUCCCGGGCCUUGUACACACCGCCCGUCACACCAUGGGAGUGGGUUGCAAAAGAAGUAGGUAGCUUAACCUUCGGGAGGGCGCUUACCACUUUGUGAUUCAUGACUGGGGUGAAGUCGUAACAAGGUAACCGUAGGGGAACCUGCGGUUGGAUCACCUCCUUA
This 1542-nucleotide ribosomal RNA is filed under the name Serratia plymuthica. Its description in RNAcentral is "bacterial SSU rRNA". It matches the Rfam family "Bacterial small subunit ribosomal RNA". The record is from RNAcentral. Lineage: Bacteria; Pseudomonadati; Pseudomonadota; Gammaproteobacteria; Enterobacterales; Yersiniaceae.